UACGGAGGGUGCAAGCGUUAUCCGGAUUUACUGGGUUUAAAGGGUGUGUAGGCGGGUCAUUAAGUCAGUGGUGAAAUCUCCGAGCUUAACUUGGAAACUGCCAUUGAUACUAUUGAUCUUGAAUUUUGUUGAGGUAGACGGAAUAAGUCAUGUAGCGGUGAAAUGCAUAGAUAUGACUUAGAACACCAAUUGCGAAGGCAGUUUACUAAACAAACAUUGACGCUGAGGCACGAAAGCGUGGGGAUCAAACAGG
Molecule: ribosomal RNA, 253 nt
Filed under: uncultured bacterium
Lineage: Bacteria
Description: partial 16S ribosomal RNA
Rfam family: Bacterial small subunit ribosomal RNA
Source: RNAcentral